AGAGUUUGAUCCUGGCUCAGGAUGAACGCUGGCGGCGUGCCUAAUACAUGCAAGUCGAACGCUUCACUUCGGUGAAGAGUGGCGAACGGGUGAGUAAUACAUAAGUAACCUGGCAUCUACAGGGGGAUAACUGAUGGAAACGUCAGCUAAGACCGCAUAGGUGUAGAGAUCGCAUGAACUCUAUAUGAAAAGUGCUACGGGACUGGUAGAUGAUGGACUUAUGGCGCAUUAGCUGGUUGGUAGGGUAACGGCCUACCAAGGCGACGAUGCGUAGCCGACCUGAGAGGGUGACCGGCCACACUGGGACUGAGACACGGCCCAGACUCCUACGGGAGGCAGCAGUAGGGAAUUUUCGGCAAUGGGGGAAACCCUGACCGAGCAACGCCGCGUGAAGGAAGAAGUAAUUCGUUAUGUAAACUUCUGUCAUAGAGGAAGAACGGUGGAUAUAGGGAAUGAUAUCCAAGUGACGGUACUCUAUAAGAAAGCCACGGCUAACUACGUGCCAGCAGCCGCGGUAAUACGUAGGUGGCGAGCGUUAUCCGGAAUUAUUGGGCGUAAAGAGGGAGCAGGCGGCACUAAGGGUCUGUGGUGAAAGAUCGAAGCUUAACUUCGGUAAGCCAUGGAAACCGUAGAGCUAGAGUGUGUGAGAGGAUCGUGGAAUUCCAUGUGUAGCGGUGAAAUGCGUAGAUAUAUGGAGGAACACCAGUGGCGAAGGCGACGAUCUGGCGCAUAACUGACGCUCAGUCCCGAAAGCGUGGGGAGCAAAUAGGAUUAGAUACCCUAGUAGUCCACGCCGUAAACGAUGAGUACUAAGUGUUGGGUGUCAAAGCUCAGUGCUGCAGUUAACGCAAUAAGUACUCCGCCUGAGU
This 869-nucleotide ribosomal RNA is filed under the name human gut metagenome. RNAcentral describes it as "bacterial SSU rRNA". It matches the Rfam family "Bacterial small subunit ribosomal RNA", at positions 9 to 873 of the family's 1533-position model. The record is from RNAcentral.